Molecule: small nuclear RNA, 19 nt
Filed under: Arabidopsis thaliana (thale cress)
Lineage: Eukaryota; Viridiplantae; Streptophyta; Magnoliopsida; Brassicales; Brassicaceae
Description: snRNA_05336
Source: RNAcentral
AAGAAGGUAAUUUCUCGUU